CAGAAACCUUCUUUCCUUCUCCCUGAGCUAGACCCCGAGCAACUUCAGCUCCCCUUUUGGUUCUUCUCCCCUAAUCAGAGACAUUCUUUCCCUUUCCCAAUUAUGGUUAUUCUCUCCCUGAUCUAGGUUUUCUACACAGAAGAGUCUCAUCAACCUCUCCCCGAUCUAGGUCAAGAAGACACUGUUGAUGGAGUUCUUCGAUUUCACGAACGCAGCAACCUGCAAGGCUGUAACCAACAACCCAUCUCCUGCAUGUCUCCGAGCUCCGCCUCCAGCCUUUCAAGCCCCAGCGGCCACCACCGAACUCAGGGUUGGAGACUUGGAGCACUCCCGAGUCCCGAACACGGAACACAACGUGCAAGGCUGUAACCAGCAACCAGCAUAUCGUUCGAUUCAGUGUUUGAGGAGGUUGGAAUGAAAAAGGCAUACCAAAAGAAAGUGAUUGAGAAAAUUAUAGCAGAAAGGGACUGUUUGAUUGUCAUGGCUACUGGAAGUGGCAAGUCUUUGUGGCAGUGAGGCAGAUGUGUAUCUUUUCGAUGGUUGCAUUACACCGUGGAAAGUCCCAAAUGGGAAAGACCUCCUUUUUGUGAGACCUGAUGCUGUGUUUGAUGGGAAGAAACUGAUCAGAAACUCUCUGAACCUUAUGUCCAUAUGAGGUGCAAACGCUUGAAUAUGUGACUCAAAGAUCAUCAAAGAAAAAAUUCCUUGCAAAAGGCCAUUUUUCUUGUAGUGUAAAGGUAAAAUUGAUUUGUUGUUGAUUAUGGUUUAAUUGUUUGAGUUCGGAUUUGAAUUGGGUAUGUGAGAUUAUGAUUGAUUAGUGUGGUUUUGUGGGGUUGUGCUACUUUUUCUUGUGCAGGAAUUUGAUGGGGUAUAUGGACCAGCAUGGCACUGCAUUGUAGGAAUAAAUUUUGGGUCUUUUGUGACACACUCAGUAAGUGGCUUUAUGUAUUUCUCAAUGGAUCAAAAGUUGUACAUCCUCUUGUUUAAGACCAUAGUACAAAGAGCAGACUGAAAGUUUUUCAAUCAUUUUUAGCAUAGGAAGAAGAAGUUAUGGAAAAGCUUUAAAAAUAAGUUGUAAUUCUUUCUGGCUUGUACAGUGUUUAAUGCAGCAGGAAAAAGCUGAAAACUUGAUCCUUUGUAACUAUGUAAAAGACAUUUACUUGGUUGGUUGAAGUUGUGGGGCUUGGUAAAUGUCUGAUUCAGAAAUCCUUUCUGCUAGUUCUGUAAGCCCAUAUGCAUCUGUCACUUCUCAUUACAUAUAAUAUAAUCCUUAUAAGUCUUUUUUUUGCUUUUCUGUGACUUUUUUCUUUCUUUUGGCUUGAUCAAUAUUUAUUGCCCUCUGGCCUUGUUUGGCUUUAAGCUUUAGUAUUCAUAGGAUGAUGGGAUCAAUUCACCUCAGAAGAGAAUGAGAAUGCUCAGUAAAUGAGAUAAUAUGAAAGACUUGAAGUGCAGGUAUUAUGUGAUGUUCCGGCUUGAAGUGCAGUUUCUCAAUGAAUUUUGUUCCAGGGGUUGGCUGUUGUUGCAAUAUUGAGGCACUUUAGAUACCCUUGCAGGUUCAUUUAGCACCUGGAAGCAAAUUUAAUUUUCAAAAAUAUAUCAAAAGAUCAUUAGAAGAUGACUUUAAAGUCUGCGCAGACUUAGAAGUUCCUUCAGAUGAUGGCAAAAAGAAGAAAGCCAUAACAUCAAUCGGAAUAUUAACAGCAGCACUUCUGCUUCUGCUUUUGGUUGCAGGUAUUAUGUAGAGUAAGGGCUACAUAGGAGGAAAGAUCGCUGCAGAUAAAGGUUUGAAGCAUGUUAAAGUCUAGUGUGGUCAAAGUCGUAACUAGUAUCUUUUAUCUCCUAAGAUUCAAGUUUUGCCUUGUCCACAAUGUCUAAAUAGUUCAACUGUUGUCUUUAUGAACAAGAGAUAAGCUUAAUACUUUAUCUUAAUUGACAUGGAAGCAGAGCUCAGAGAAAUGGAUUUGCAGACAUGAUUUUUUACUUUAAAACAGAUAUUGAAAUGGUUGUAACUAUGAAUUGUAUUUUGGAUGAUGUUGAUGCAAUGAAACGUAGGCAUCAUUUUGAAUGCUGAUUUUAGUCCAA
RNA transcript from Rosa rugosa (rugosa rose), 2082 nucleotides. RefSeq lists it as uncharacterized. The transcript has 7 exons. Lineage: Eukaryota; Viridiplantae; Streptophyta; Magnoliopsida; Rosales; Rosaceae. The record is from RefSeq and is a predicted model, not a curated record.